Molecule: ribosomal RNA, 558 nt
Filed under: uncultured bacterium
Lineage: Bacteria
Description: partial 16S ribosomal RNA
Rfam family: Bacterial small subunit ribosomal RNA
Source: RNAcentral
UGGGGAAUUUUGGACAAUGGGCGAAAGCCUGAUCCAGCAAUGCCGCGUGUGUGAAGAAGGCCUUCGGGUUGUAAAGCACUUUUGUCCGGAAAGAAAUCCUUGGCUCUAAUACAGUCGGGGGAUGACGGUACCGGAAGAAUAAGCACCGGCUAACUACGUGCCAGCAGCCGCGGUAAUACGUAGGGUGCAAGCGUUAAUCGGAAUUACUGGGCGUAAAGCGUGCGCAGGCGGUUUGCUAAGACCGAUGUGAAAUCCCCGGGCUCAACCUGGGAACUGCAUUGGUGACUGGCAGGCUAGAGUAUGGCAGAGGGGGGUAGAAUUCCACGUGUAGCAGUGAAAUGCGUAGAGAUGUGGAGGAAUACCGAUGGCGAAGGCAGCCCCCUGGGGCCAAUACUGACGCUCAUGCACGAAAGCGUGGGGAGCAAACAGGAUUAGAUACCCUGGUAGUCCACGCCCUAAACGAUGUCAACUAGUUGUUGGGGAUUCAUUUCCUUAGUAACGUAGCUAACGCGUGAAGUUGACCGCCUGGGGAGUACGGUCGCAAGAUUAAAACUUAAA